AAGAGACCUGAGACUGGCAGUUGAUGACUUAGGCACACACGCAUUAUGUUUACUGGGGCCAACAUAAUCAGUCCUUAGUGCAACUCAGGACAGGGAAACAAGUAAGAACUAAGGACUCAUGUAUUCCUAAUUUUCUUCAACAAAUUAGACAAUUUGCUGGGCAAAUGAGGAUGGUAAUUGAUGCCAUGUGUAGGGACCUUAUAGGUGGUUCAGGUAAAAUACCUUCAGCAACAGAAUUAUGCAGUGACAUAGAUCUGGCAGGACAUCUCUAUAUGUUAGAAAUGCAAUAUAACUACAUAGUGUUUCAACGUAAGCAAACACACAAAACAGCAAAAACAUUUCUGGGAACUUUACAUAAUAUAGGUGAAUAUAUGUAUGAGAUACAAUUCAGAAAAAUAAGGAAUCACAAAUUAUCUUUUACUCUUGUGAAGUCCUAUCUAAGAAACUUCAUUUCCUACACAUUUAAAAAAUCUCACAUUUGGACAAUGUCAAAAGCAAAUUUAGAAAUAUGCCUGAUAAAUAUCUCAUAUUAAUUGCACUCAGAAUGGCUUUCUCCAGUGUGAACUCUCUGAUGAUAUUGGAGACCACUCCUCCAUGUAAAAGAUUUCCCACAUUCACUGCAUUUAAAAGGUUUUUCUCCUGUAUGAACUCUCUGAUGACUAUGAAGGUUGGUGUUAGUGGUAAAACUUUUCCCACAUUCACUGCAUUGAUAAGGCUUUUCUCCUGUGUGAAUUCUUUGAUGA
This is a long non-coding RNA of Pipistrellus kuhlii (Kuhl's pipistrelle), 743 nucleotides long. RefSeq lists it as uncharacterized. NCBI's taxonomy places the organism in Eukaryota, Metazoa, Chordata, Mammalia, Chiroptera, Vespertilionidae. The record is from RefSeq and is a predicted model, not a curated record. The transcript has 3 exons.